Molecule: long non-coding RNA, 432 nt
Filed under: Mytilus galloprovincialis (Mediterranean mussel)
Lineage: Eukaryota; Metazoa; Mollusca; Bivalvia; Mytilida; Mytilidae
Source: RNAcentral
AUAUUAAAAUUCUAAAUAUCGUUUUUAAAUUUGAUAGUUUAGAAAUUUGAUCAAACUUUAAAAAUACAAACCUAACGUGCAAUUUUGAUUAUUUCACUUUUUGAAAGUUUGAUUUUUUAAAUUUUUGAUUAAGAUAUCAGAAAUAGAAAAGGGGCGAAAAGAGGGGUACCUGUAAACUGCAAAACGAAAAAAACGGAACGAAACGAGACAAAAUGAAAUGAAAACAUACUGAUACUUAAAAGUUAAUGUAUUAAACAACAACACAGGCAGACAGUUGUAAGCGGUAAAAAAAUGGAUGACAGAAAUAAAUAUUUCUCAAAAGAAGAGAAUUCAUUUUAAAACAAGACGCACGGCUCUGAUAAUGACCAUUAUACUUGCUGGUUUUCUCUGCACCCAUAUUUUAGGAGUAACAGUAAAAACUGACCAACUCGC